CCUCGAUCGUGCGAACCGCGAAUCUCAAUGUUACCGCUGUCAGAUCGCCAACCGACCAUCUACGAUCUGUCAACACCCGACUCACCGUGUCCAACUAUAUAAUGAAAGAACAAAAAACCCAAAGUAACUCAAUAAUACUUAAAAUACGAGGAUCGAUCGGAACGCAGUUGAGAAUGAUGGAAAAUGAAUGGAGCAUGCAUUAUUAAUUCUCGAUGAAAUGGCCAAUGAAAUUUACCUUGGACAAGUCGACGUUACCGAAAGUAUGGUAAAUGAGUCGUGGUACGCCAGCCAAAGAAGCGGCAAGCCAUUGAAUGACCAAUUUCAAUUGAGGAUCCCCUUUUAAUCGCGAACCGCAUCCCCAAUUUCCGGUGACGACGGGCAUCGGGCCACCUCCUCCUUGAGGACUACUCUCUCCCGGUAACUAAAUCCGAAAUGAAGAAACAAAUGGAAACUAUACAGUUUUCACGCCCGAAUAUCCAAUAGUAAAUCAAACUUAUCGAGAUAACGUUCGGUGUGAAGAAGAAAGCAAAAAAAAAAAAAAAAAAAAUUAAUUGGUCAAUGGGACACGAGCACGGAGAUACGGAUUUUAUUGAGGCACAAGGCACGAUGCAACACUGAAAAUUGUAAAAUAUAGAACGAGAGACGGAAGAAUUUGAAUUAGUGUACACCGAUGACGAAUGUCAAGAGGAAAAAAAAAUCAA
Long non-coding RNA from Venturia canescens, 701 nucleotides. RefSeq lists it as uncharacterized. The record is from RefSeq and is a predicted model, not a curated record. The transcript is spliced from 2 exons. NCBI's taxonomy places the organism in Eukaryota, Metazoa, Arthropoda, Insecta, Hymenoptera, Ichneumonidae.